This is a non-coding RNA of Leptonychotes weddellii (Weddell seal), 279 nucleotides long. Lineage: Eukaryota; Metazoa; Chordata; Mammalia; Carnivora; Phocidae. The record is from RefSeq and is a predicted model, not a curated record.
GAUGACUUGUCCCUUCUGGCGAAAUUGGCAAGGAGCCCCUUGGCCCUAUCUCUUCAUUCUAGUACAUAUGGCCUCUUAGACCCCCAGGAGCCUACAGUCUGCAUUUCCAAGAGACCACUGCAGAGAUUUCCACAGCACCUCUGCUUGUCUAAUGAUAUGGGCACCAGAUUCCAGCCUUAUUUCACAUUCAGCCAAUACAGCUCUGCACACAGAAAGGAGGAUCGUCUGCUUCUGGAACACAGCUGAGCUCGAGUAGCUGAAACUGUGGAAAGUGAAAUA